This is an RNA transcript of Chrysemys picta bellii (western painted turtle), 1951 nucleotides long. It is a transcript of the gene named RNA binding protein, mRNA processing factor 2, with no coding region annotated. Lineage: Eukaryota; Metazoa; Chordata; Testudines; Emydidae. The record is from RefSeq and is a predicted model, not a curated record.
ACCGUAUUGAAAAGGCGCAGGCGGCAGCUCGGGGCUGUACUCGGGGCCGGCGGCUGCAGCUCGUUGGCACCUUCCCCCUCCCUUAAUUGCUCCUCAGCCAACUCCAUGUGAGCCCGGCCGGGUACAAAUAGCCCCGCGCCGCGUUUCCCCCCACACCGCGCACCUCGCCCACGCCGCACCCCCGUUCAGUUGGGCGGUGGCCAGCCCGCCCCGCACCCUCCCGGGCAGCACCAGGGCACCCAGCCUGGGCACCGUCUCCGCACCUAGCUGCACCCCGGAGCCUUUUGUUUGUUGGUCACCCACAGGCACCAUUUCCAAGCCCAGCCCAGGACCGCAGCUCCCCCGAGAGCCUCCUGCCCCCAAGAGAGCCAAGCCCGGGGGAAGCCCUGCGAUCCCUGGACAAAGAAGCUACAAAGAACCCAGGACCGUCCACUCAGCCCCCUGCACCCCCGCCAUGAGCAACCUCAACAAGGAGAGCGAGCACAGUAACAGCAGCAACAACAUCGAGGAGGAGGUACGGACGCUCUUUGUCAGUGGCCUUCCUGUGGACAUCAAACCCAGAGAGCUCUACCUGCUCUUCCGACCGUUCAAGGGCUAUGAAGGGUCACUGAUCAAACUAACAUCAAAACAGCCAGUAGGUUUCGUUACCUUCGAUAGCCGAUCUGGUGCUGAAGCAGCAAAGAAUGCCUUAAACGGUAUCCGCUUCGACCCAGAGAACCCCCAGACCUUGCGGUUGGAGUUUGCCAAAGCCAACACCAAGAUGGCAAAAAGCAAGCUGAUGGCCACACCAAACCCCACCAACAUCCACCCUGCCCUGGGCGCGCACUUCAUCGCACGGGACCCCUAUGACCUGGCUGGAGCAGCUCUCAUUCCAGCAUCUCCAGAGGCGUGGGCUCCCUACCCACUGUACACCACAGAGCUAACCCCUGCCAUCCCCCAUGCUGCGUUCACAUACCCAGCCGCUGCUGCCGCCGCUGCUGCCCUUCACGCUCAGUGAACGCCAGCCAUGAUGCCAGCGCAGGCUAGCCCUGAAGCUCAGAGCUGUCCCUGGAGAUGGGACACCCUAGUGAUGCCUAAUUGCCGCUAGUGGAGUGGCUGUCCUACAGCUUCAUUCCUAAGCGUGAUGGCCCCCACGUCUGGAAAGACUGAUGCGCUGGUAUCCUCCCUCCGAAGCUACCCAGCAAGGAUGGAAGUCUCGUCAGUUUUGUUAGUUCUUCAAGUCUCUUGGCUUGUUCCCUUCUUUGUCUCUCCUGGAGCGAUGUGCCAGGGAUGAAGCAAUGGAUCCAUCAAAAUCCGUUUGGUUUGUGGACACUCUGCAGUAAUGUCACAUUUCUCCUGGUACAGCCUUGUGGGCUUCCCUGUUAGACUGUGCAUCUAUCCAUACCCAGCUCAGUGGACUGCAUUCUGCCUGUCCUCACCUUCCCUCCCCUCUCCUGCCUCCCCUCCUAACAGAUUCCCAGACUGAGUUUCUCCUUCCUGUGCCACUGAAGCCUAGAUGGAGGGACUCAAUCCUGGUGGUAACAGACGGGUUUGUCCCUACCAAGACACUGGUGCCAAAUGAGGCCUAGCUGUACAGAGCAAUACUCAGGCUGCCUUGCCCUCAACUUUAUGCAGCUCUGCUGAAGGAAAUGAAAGACAAUCAGUUUUGCAUGUUUUCUGGCAUGAAUUUAAAACACUUAACUUGUGUAUGUGUGAGUGUAUAAGUUUGUUCUAGCAUUUGUGUAACUGUAGCAACAGGUCUUGGCCUAACUAUUGAUCCAGCAAGGUUUUUCAUCUUGCUUCUGUGAAGACUUGGCUUUCAAAAAUACUAUCCUUGUCUCACCCCUCCUCGUCCACCUCCCCCGCCCCACGUUCUCCAGUCCGACCAGAAGAUUUUUGAAAAAUGUUUGUUUAGAGUACAAUGCACUGGGUUUCUUUUCUUGUCUGGUCUCUUCUCUCAUUUUUUUAAAAA